Molecule: ribosomal RNA, 444 nt
Filed under: uncultured bacterium
Lineage: Bacteria
Description: bacterial SSU rRNA
Rfam family: Bacterial small subunit ribosomal RNA
Source: RNAcentral
CCAGACUCCUACGGGAGGCAGCAGUGGGGAAUAUUGCACAAUGGGGGAAACCCUGAUGCAGCGACGCCGCGUGAGUGAAGAAGUCAUUCGGGGUGUAAAGCCCUGUCAGCAGGGAAGAAAAUGACGGUACCUGAGGAAGAAGCCCCGGCUAACUACGUGACAGCAGCCGCGGUAAUACGUAGGGGGCAAGCGUUAUCCGGAUUUACUGGGUGUAAAGGGGGCGUAGACGGCCAGGCAAGUCUGGAGUGAAAAUCCAGGGCUUAACGUCGGAAGUGCCUUUGAAACUGCCGGGCUAGAGUGCAGGAGGGGCAGGCGGAAUGCCUGGUGUAGCGGUGAAAUGCGUAGAUAUCAGGAGGAACACCGGUGGCGAAGGCGGCCUGCUGGACUGCAACUGACGUUGAGGCUCGAAGGCGUGGGGAGCAAACAGGAUUAGAUACCCUGGUA